GGAAUUUUGGACAAUGGGCGAAAGCCUGAUCCAGCAAUGCCGCGUGAGUGAAGAAGGCCUUCGGGUUGUAAAGCUCUUUUGUCAGGGAAGAAACGGUGAAAGCUAAUAUCUUUUGCUAAUGACGGUACCUGAAGAAUAAGCACCGGCUAACUACGUGCCAGCAGCCGCGGUAAUACGUAGGGUGCAAGCGUUAAUCGGAAUUACUGGGCGUAAAGCGUGCGCAGGCGGUUUUGUAAGUCUGAUGUGAAAUCCCCGGGCUCAACCUGGGAAUUGCAUUUGUGACUGCAUAGCUAGAGUACGGUAGAGGGGGGUAGAAUUCCACGUGUAGCAGUGAAAUGCGUAGAUAUGUGGAGGAACACCGAUGGCGAAGGCAGCCCCCUGGGUCAAGAUUGACGCUCAUGCACGAAGGCGUGGGGAGCAAACAGGAUUAGAUACCCUAG
This 440-nucleotide ribosomal RNA is filed under the name uncultured Janthinobacterium sp. Its description in RNAcentral is "bacterial SSU rRNA". It matches the Rfam family "Bacterial small subunit ribosomal RNA", at positions 358 to 790 of the family's 1533-position model. Lineage: Bacteria; Pseudomonadati; Pseudomonadota; Betaproteobacteria; Burkholderiales; Oxalobacteraceae. The record is from RNAcentral.